Molecule: long non-coding RNA, 3573 nt
Organism: Hemicordylus capensis (graceful crag lizard)
Lineage: Eukaryota; Metazoa; Chordata; Lepidosauria; Squamata; Cordylidae
Exons: 3
Source: RefSeq, a predicted model, not a curated record
AUGAUGUAUCCUUGUACAGUAUCAGCCACUAUUCACACGGAUACCAUUUUCCUGCAUUAUAAGGAAAAUGUCACUCAUUUGGAUGGGAACUGACGGUGACUGUAACACAUGUUUAUGUCUCAUUAAGACAGCUGUUCUGUUAAAGAUUUGAGGGAGUUGGCUCUGAUCUGUUGGCACCAAGGAGCAAGGAUACUGCGAUGCCUGUGCAGUGCGUAAACCGCCUGCAUAUUAUUAACUGCAGGGGGGAAACUCUGCGGUCAGCCCACCUAGUAGCAUCAGAAGGAUGGAAGGAAGGAAGGAAACACACAAAAGGGAGAUGGUCUGUUUGUCUGUGUGCAGUUCUGAAGAAACGGUACAUUCUACAGAGUUGCUGAACUCAUAGUCGGAGUUCUGAAGAAAUGGUUGUGACCUUACCACCUUCACAGAUGGCACACAAAGCAGAACUUCCUCUACAGAUCUGGAGGAUAUGGGAAGGUAUGAGAAGAGGCACAGCUUGAGUGUUGUUGGACUCAGGUCAUCAGUACCCUGAAGAGUUCAUAACCAGCAUCUUGAAAUAGGCCAGGAAGCAAAGCACGGCCCAUUUAAUAUGUUUAUUAAUAUUUAAUAAGAGGAGGACGCAAGAGAGCUUUUUCUUUUUUCUUUUUCCGUUUGACAGCAAUGGAAGAACAGCAUGACAAGUUGCCAAGCCUUGCCUUUGUGAGUGACCACCUUCAUCACCUCAUCCCCCCCCCCCCGCCACACCCCAGACCACUUAAGAGGCAGGGGAUUUUAAAGCAGAAAUCAGUGCUUUAGUUUACAGCUACUGUGUUUUCAGUACUGUGUUAUCCUGGCAUUCCAAGAUCUGGAUCCAGCAGAGGACUGAGCCUGUUGAUCCCCAACUAAGCACGGUCCAAAGGAGGGGGCUGCAAGAGACCCCUCCGACCAGGAGCCUUUGGGUCAUGGAAUGAAAUCUGACACACAGACACCCAAAAGCUUCCCUGCUGCUUGCUAGCAGCUCACUUGUGACCUUUUGGUGCCCCAUGCCCUGCAACUGACCACACUCAGCCUUCCCUAGCAUCGUCGUCCAGUCUCGCCCGCAUUUUGGCAAGAUCUGGGACUGAUCCCUGGCCGCCCCAAUUGCUUCUGCACAAAAAGCCCAACAUCAGAGAGGUGGUGGCAACGCUUCAAUCACAAGCAGAAAGCAGCGACGACACAUUUGCUGGAAUGGCGGGGGUGGGUGGGGCUGUGCUCCUGGUUUCCUCAGAGAGACAGAGGAAGCCACGAAGGUGGAGCGCAAGCAGAGGGGAAGAAAAGGGAGCCAAACAAAAUGCAGACACAGAAAGAGAGAGAGGAAAGGCUGAUCUUACCAGGCGGCAAGGGGGCUGAUGGAAGAACAAAGCAGCAAAUGGAAAGACAAACAAAGGGAAUGUUACAUUCUGGGGGUACUUUCCUAACCAGGUUUGUGCUGGAAAAAGGUUAGAGAUGCCUGGCUACAAGCUGGCAAAACAAAAGACAAAAAGAAACCCAUCCAUCCAUCUGUUGCAGCGCUGACCACUCUCAAUUCAGCCAUCCCUAGAAAGAAGCAACUGCACUAGUCCGGGACGGAGAAAGAGAGAGAAUCCAGUCCCCAAACCUGUCGUCCCCCUCAGCUGGUUAGCCGGCUGCUGGCAAGAGGAUGAGUUAAGCCCAGAAUACUUUCUUGUUGGCACUGUUAAGUAAAAAGAAUGCACUGGACCUCACGACUCUUGUUCUAGUGCAGCUUAACAGGCUUCGAGACUCCAGAAGCCAAGCAGCAUGAUCCAAUGCCUUUGUAAUGGGACUAGCAGAAUGCAUUACCUCAGGUUAUUUUAGAAGCAUGCACAUUGAAGCUCGCUGUGGUCUCCAUUCUGCAUAUCUAAAUCCUACAUAAAAAGCAUAGGAAGACCCACAUCUUGCAGUUUCUUGCAGUUUGUGCUUGCAUUUCACUCAGGAAUUUCCCCCUCACAACAUACCCAACACAGCUAUCAAAAUCCCCUUCAUAGAAUUUUGGGGGGGAAACGCUGAAUUACUGGCAUGGCCACUCCACACAUCAAAGGAGAAGCGGAGGGGCAUAAUAGAAGCCUCAGGGUUUUUCUCUCCAAAAGCCGCUGAAACUAGAGGGUUUUUUGACAUACUUCAGGCUAAGCGAGAAUGCACAGCCUUGAUUCGGGGGGGGGGGCACAGAAUCCUGUCUGUACUGGUCCCUGAUAGCCCGCAGAGACUUUGGGGUAAAUGCAGCUAAUAUGUGGACUGGCACACUCCAUUCCAGAGGAGAUUCACACUAAAAGCCCUGUGUGUAAAGCCUCCAGGGGACUGCCUUUUUCCUGGAACUCUGAGGAUUUAGGAUGCAGCAGCCCAAUAGCUCAUAGGAACAGUUUGACUAAAUUGUUAAUCUAAAAGAUGAGUUAAUAUGUAAAAUUAAUUGCAGAAUCAAAGCAUUUCCUCUCCGAUCGUCAGUUCCUGGAGGAAGCAACAGCAAUAGGAGGGUUGGUAGCAUCCUAUGGGCUUCCUUGAAGCAUCUGCUUGCUCACUGUAGGAAACAGGAUUUUUUUCCCCUUUACAUUUUAUAUCCUGCUCUUCCUGCAAAGAGCCCAGAGCGGUGUGCGACAUACUUAAGUUUCUCCUCACAACAACCCUGUGAAGUAGGUUAGGCUGAGAGAGAAGUGACUGGCCCAGCGUCACCCAGCAAGUCUCAUGGCUGAAUGGGGAUUUGAACUCAGGUCUCCCUGGUCCAAGUCCAGAACUUUAACCACUACACCACCCUGGUUCUUGGAAGAGAUGGACUCUUAGUCUGAUCCAACUAGGGUUGCCAACGAGGGACUUUUGUAGAGGACAUGCAACUAUUUGGGGGACCAAAUGACUUUUUUGUAUUAGGAGGAAUAGAGAGUAUUUGGGGCCCAAACAACUUCUUUUGCAUGUGUGGUGUGGUGCCCGAAGUUCUGGGGAGCAGCUGGAAGGUUUUGUUUGCUCAGCACACUUUGCUCUCACGAGCAGCUCCUCUUCCUCUGUCUCUUUCCCCUUCCUCCUGACCAUCCAUCCAAUCGGGAAGCCAGAGGGGAGGUUCGGCUUCAGCGGUGGGUUUCAGAGCCACGUGAUGCAGGAGCACGGAUGGGUGGGUGCAGCAGGUGCAGCUGGCUUCCUUCAUGUGGUGGCAGUGGUGGCAGCGGCAGUGAGAAGUCAGCAGUUAGCUAACAAAUCUCUUCUAUUUAUUCUCAAAUUAUCCAGUUUUUAUCAAAAUAUGAAUAUUUAUUUAUUUACUUACUUACUUAAAUUUAUAUACUACCUGAUAUGUGUGUCUCUAGGCGGUGUACAUAAUUUAAAACAACAAAUAUAAAACAGAGUGAAAACAAUUAAAAUAAUAAUUAUUUUAUACAUAUAAAUAUGCAGAUUUUAUGCAAAGUGGAGAUGUUUUUGAGACUUGUUUGGUUCAAAGCAUCCUCUAUUUCCACUUUUUCGGGGAUGGAUAUCCAGAGGUGCUCUUAUCUCGGGCCUUCCAGGCCAAAGUCCAGGGCCUCCACACCCCCUGGGGGUCCCCAAAUCCUCUUUCGUCUGUCCCGGGUGGUGUGGUCGCCGUGA